Molecule: unclassified non-coding RNA, 400 nt
Filed under: soil metagenome
Description: partial contains 5.8S ribosomal RNA, internal transcribed spacer 2, and large subunit ribosomal RNA
Rfam family: 5.8S ribosomal RNA (bases 1-122)
Source: RNAcentral
GAUGAAGAACGUAGCGAAAUGCGAUACUUGGUGUGAAUUGCAGAAUCCCGUGAACCAUCGAGUCUUUGAACGCAAGUUGCGCCUCAAGCCAUUAGGUUGAGGGCACGUCUGCCUGGGCGUCACAUAUCGUUGCCUGAUGCCAGUUUCCUCGUGAUGGGUGACUGUGCAGGGCGAAUGAUGGCUUCCCGUGAGCAUUGUUGCCUCAUGGUUGGUUGAAAAUUGAGUCCUUGGUAGGGAGCGCCGUGAUAGAUGGUGGUUGAGUGACGAACGAGACCCAAUCAUGUGAGACCCCUACCGAAUUUGGCCUUCAUGACCCACAUGCGUCUUUGGAACGCUCAUGACGAGCCCUCAGGUCAGGCGGGGCUACCCGCUGAGUUUAAGCAUAUCAAUAAGCGGAGGA